AUGUGAUUCCUCCUUGAAGUGAGCUAAAUUAUAUUUUAAAAUUUCUUUGUGCAGGCCACUCACAUGAGCAGACAUAUGAAGACACAGCACUGUUACACUACUGAGUAGGUCACUGGCCAUGUAGGUAUACUUCACAUAUUAAGGGGAUUCUAAAUGUGGCAGCUACAUACGUUUGCGGUGUGCUGCGUGGUGGUCUGGCGCAUCAAGAAGCAUGUGUCACCAUAUCCUCUAAUAUAAUGACCCGCUAAAUGACUCCAAAGGAUACUUCAGUAUAAUUCAGAAAAAGGUACAGGGACAUUUGUUGUUAUAAGCUUUCAACAUAUUGCUCUAACCAGCUUUGCUAUUUCUUCAUGUGAAGUACAAGGCACAGCCAUCAACUAUUCAUGCAGAAUACUCGCAUAUGCAGUAAAAUGCUCCAUCGUUAUAAAUUUGGAAUGUGGGGUGUCUCACUGGAACAUGUCGGCAUCCUCCAAAUGCCUGUUUAAGCAUUCUUCUGAAUUUAUUAAUGUUUACAGUGCUCAAAAA
RNAcentral lists this long non-coding RNA (525 nucleotides) under Dermacentor andersoni. Its description in RNAcentral is "uncharacterized LOC126536520". The record is from RNAcentral. Lineage: Eukaryota; Metazoa; Arthropoda; Arachnida; Ixodida; Ixodidae.